Molecule: long non-coding RNA, 725 nt
Organism: Cimex lectularius (bed bug)
Lineage: Eukaryota; Metazoa; Arthropoda; Insecta; Hemiptera; Cimicidae
Exons: 3
Source: RefSeq, a predicted model, not a curated record
GGUUCUCUUCGUAGUUCUCCUCUUCCAGGUACGCCUUGACGUCCUCGACCGAGAGCUGGGGCACCUUCGCCUUCUGCCCUGGCUGGAAGUCCAGCACCUCGCCCUCCUCGUCGUAGUCUAACUCAGCCCCGGGAUUGCCCUGCGAAGCCAUUUCCCGGAGAGAUGCUGCAAGACUGAAAAAAAAACACUGGUGCCUGCUGUACUGGUCUGCUACUGCUCUAUAGGUUCAGAGAUCAGCUGACGGGGAAGCUUGUUUAACUUUUGUUUAUCUUCAGUCGGGUCAAAAUUACACACAGCUGAUAAGAAAUAUACACAAGAUAAAUUGUGGUUGCAACCGACUGAUCCUAUGAGCAAAUUUUAAUGUCUUCUUGGGACAAACUCUGCAUGUUGUCUACUAAAAAGAUUGGUCGAACAAUUUCACUUCUGAAUUAUGACAAGAGAGAUAUUACAGCUGCGCAGGGUAGCUUUUCAGCAAAUAAACGUAGCAAUUAAAGCUUCGAUAGGCUAUAGGCUGACCUGCCGACUCCAUGAUCGCUAAAUUCCAAUUUGAUGACAAAUUUCCAAUAAGACUAUCCGAAGCAGCCUAUGGAAGAAUUGGAUCCCAGUUUAUGUCCGUUACACCAUGGUUCAAAGACCGAAUUACGUGUCAGGAGCUGGUAUCUUUGAAAAUAAACUAUUAACUACUAAUUACAUUAAUAAACUGUAUUAUACGCAGCUUACAAGAA